Molecule: transfer RNA, 70 nt
Filed under: Bathyraja maculata (white-blotched skate)
Lineage: Eukaryota; Metazoa; Chordata; Chondrichthyes; Rajiformes; Arhynchobatidae
Description: tRNA-Tyr
Rfam family: tRNA
About the family: Transfer RNA (tRNA) molecules are approximately 80 nucleotides in length.
Source: RNAcentral
GGUAAGAUGGCUGAUAGUUAAGUGGCGGCUUGUAGUCCCGUGAAGAGAGGUUCGAAUCCUCUUCUUAUCA